Molecule: long non-coding RNA, 1717 nt
Organism: Oncorhynchus tshawytscha (Chinook salmon)
Lineage: Eukaryota; Metazoa; Chordata; Actinopteri; Salmoniformes; Salmonidae
Source: Ensembl
CUGCGAUUCUACUCUGUCUGUUACUUUCUCCAAACGGGCAUUUCAGAUCUCUCUGGUCUAAAGUGUGACUUCCACAGGUCCGGAACCGCCUUGACUGUUAUUUGAGAAUUGUUGGAGGCAAGAUAUAGAUAACCACCCCUGGUUGACCAUAUUUCUACCUCUGCCCAGUGAGCGCUUCCUGCCCAGGACCAGCUGGCUUGUGAGUGGAUUGGAAUGGACAAUAGAAUGUAAAGCCCACAUUCACUUUACCUUCAGUUGGACAUUUAUUACAAACUAGCACUUCAAUAUGGACACCUGACUCUUCACUUGGAUUUUCUGGAUGUUUUGAAGAUGGAGACCUAGCUCGAUCCCAGAUCUUUUAUGCAGUCGGUGUGACAAUGACCACACGGAUUUGCUAAGAUGGCACCAACGGAUAUGGGAUCAGGCUAAUGGAAACCCACUGUACCCACAUUCAGCUGGUCGUCUACCUGCCAUUCCGAGAGGUGCAGCUGGAGUUGGUGGAGCCAGCUAAGUGCAAGUAUGUUCUCCAGACCCUGAGACCCCCACAGCAGGCCCGCUGUGUGCUGGACUAGAGAGAGAGAGGCGUCGGGAUGUGGCACCGUGGCACUAGUCCAGGAUCAGAGGGCCGUUCAGAGUUUCAACUACCCACAAUCCUACAGCAACAACUCUGACUACCACUGGGUCAUCUAUGCCCCCCAGGAUCAUGUUGUCAAGGUGACACAUGUUGACCUAUACCUCUUAUGCAGAGGGGGCUUUAAUAUUUUGUGUAUUGUCCUGUGCAAGGCCAUUGUGACCGAAGGGAUACCCCAGAUCUCUGAUUGCUCCCAGUGGAAUCAUGAAUACGGUCUCUGGUGUGGAUGGGAUCAGUUUACCUGUACUGGAAAGAAUGUGUUACUCAGUUUGAUGCAACCAUAACAACAAUAAUAACAGCAACAGACUGCAAUAGUGUUGCUGCACAUGUCACAUUUUUUUGGCUGAAAUUACAAUGAUUUAAGAGUUUACAGCUCAGUGCAAGGAUGAUGUUGUAUUCCUUUGUUAUUUUAUUCUCUUAUCUUGCGGCGUGACUUCGAUGACUUUGACUUGGAGCAGUCAGAUGACUGCAGUCUGAUUCGCUGAUUUGUACUUCGGAGAUGUGGACGCAAAUAAAACAUUUUUUUGUCACAUACACAAGGUUAGAAAAUGUCAAUGCGAGUGUGGUGAAAUGCUUGUGCUUCUAUUUCCGACAGUACAAUAAUAUCUAACAAGUAAUUUAACAAUUCCCUAAGAACUACCUAAUACACACAAAUCUUAAGGGAUGGAAUAAGAAUAUGUAAGUAUAUGGAUGAGCGAUGGGCGAGUGGCAUAGGCAAGGUGCAGUAGAUGGUAUAAAAUACAGUAAAUACAUGUGAUAUGAGUUAUGUAAACAUGAUUAAAGUGUCAUUAUUUAGAGUGUAUUGUAUAAAGUGACUAGUGAUCCAUUUAUUAAAGUGGCCAGUGAUUGGGUCUCAAUGUAGGCAGCAGCCUUGGCGUUAGUGAUUUGCUGUUAGGCAGUCUGAUGGCCUUGAGAGAGAAGCUGUAUGUAUGCCGAGGAACUUACAACUUUCCACCUUCUCCACUACUGUCCCUUCGAUGUGGAUAAGGGGGGUACUCCCUCUGCUGAUUCCUGAAGUCCACGAUCAUCUCCUUUUGUUGACGUUGAGUGAAAGGUUAUUUUCCUGACACCACACUUCGAGUGCCC